Molecule: long non-coding RNA, 1764 nt
Filed under: Daphnia pulicaria
Lineage: Eukaryota; Metazoa; Arthropoda; Branchiopoda; Diplostraca; Daphniidae
Description: uncharacterized LOC124350252, transcript variant X3
Source: RNAcentral
ACGACAGAUCAGAAACUUUAGAUUUCUUUGAUCUUAUGACUGUUUUAUGGAGAAUAUUUGUUGUUUAGACAAGUUCGCUUUUUUUCUCAAUUGUGAUUGCCUAUCCUGUGCUACCUGGAGCUACCCAUGAGUGUCCCGUUACCCUCCCUCCUAACAUAUUUGAAAACAGUCGAUGUUGUGCCCAAAUUAAAUUGGUGCAAGAAAUUAUGCAUGCAUGAAAGAAAUGAGAUGAUGCAUGCACGCACACCACCAAUCCAACAGCAACACUAGAAUCUCUGGAUCACGACCGAGGCGCAGAUGCUGAUUCAUCGUAUCAGAGGAGACACCUCAAAUGUUACUUGUCGCACAAGUUCUCCAUUACGGGUUUUGGCGAGUUAAGCAACCACACCAUCAUUGACACUAGAAUCCAACUUACAACUUCACCGACGUCGUAACCGGAUUCUUUGCCAUUUGUAAUCGGAAUGAUCAGGACAGGUGGAAGCUGUCAACAAGGCUUUAAAAUCCGGUGAAUUUUCAGCGAUAAUCAUCAGGAUCCAUUUAUUAUCCAUUUCAGGACCUACCGAUAUCAUCGUCCACUGCCAGGAAAAGCAUUUCAAUCAAGAACAACGGUUAAAAUCCUGGUGAAAUGUCCUCUUUCUAUGAGACCGAAACCGGAAAGCUGAUGACCCUACAACAAUCCCACUUCUUUCUCUGGUAUCCUCAGGUGAAGUUACGUCGCAUAGUAUAGCCCGUGGUGUAGCUGACUGGUCUACGAAUGUAGGCCAUGCCAAAUUUCAAGAGGAUCACAGAUCUCUGGUCAAGUUAUAUGACAGCUCGACAGUUCAGGACCCUCUGCUCACUUCCGGUGUAGUUUCGGCGCAAAAUAUUAAGAAAUGGUUGAGGUUUUGACACUAGAUGGUUUUGUAUAUUGGCGAACAAAUGAAUGUCCAUGAAAUGUCAAAAGUUAUGUAGAGUAAAAUGUAAUAAGAGAUGUAUGGUGCAAAGCCUCGUCUGUUGAUCGCCCUUAUUAAGUCAUCGUUUGUCUGAUGCCUUUGUCAAUAAUAGUGAAGUUGGAGCGGCAGCAGCAGCAGAUCCUCAAUAGUGGUCUCCAGUUCAACAGCAGCUGUCGAUAAUGGUCAUGGGAUUACGAACUUACUCGCCCGUUUAGUGCGUCGAUUCGCCAAUUAUUUGUUUGGCCUUUUGUAUAGCAUCGGACUCCAAAAUCACUGCAAUGAAAUUAGGGCGCUCUUUUGUUGCCGGAGUGACGGAACGGAGUGUCAAAAUAUAUCAUAUGGGGGAAUUGAGUCUGUAUCAAUGUGGUCCUAGUUCGCCCCCAGUCACUCCAGUUGAACAGAUUGCGUCGCAGCCGGGAACUUCUUUUGGUUAUUUCAUGGAAAUUGAGGUACCAGCACCUGGUAGAGAAAUUUCGUACUACUUUAUGGAAUCCCAUUUCUGCUGUCGUCUGCUUCCUUCAUUCAGUCCUUCACUCUUGGCCUUCACGGUUGAUGUUGAUUGUUGAUAGUGGGAGAUGUUCGUUGUGGCACUAGAGUAAAUUUUCCAUUAUGGUAGUCUUGGGGACACAAUCAAUAGGGAUAGCUCCAAGUGAAACUACAGGAAAACUUCUUGAAUUGUUGAUCGCUUCAGAUUUAGUUAAUGACUAGAGAGUAGACCCCUUUGCUUCUCUGUUGCAAUUAUGAGUUAAGACCAUUAUGGAAAUGUGGAUUACAUUUGUUAUUUUUAAGUUGAAAAACUUGACAACUACAAAUUCCUUUGUAAGAUUUAUCA